This 205-nucleotide microRNA precursor is filed under the name Oryza brachyantha (malo sina). RNAcentral's name for it is "MIR812 microRNA precursor family". It matches the Rfam family "MIR812 microRNA precursor family". The record is from Rfam by way of RNAcentral. Lineage: Eukaryota; Viridiplantae; Streptophyta; Magnoliopsida; Poales; Poaceae.
UUUAUAUGACACCGUUAACUUUUAUAUCCACGUUUGACCUUUCGUCUUAUUUAAAAAAAUUAUAUAAUUAUUAAUUAUUUUGUUAUAAUAUGAUUUAUUAUUAUAGGAAUUUUAAGUAUGUUUUAUAAUUUUACAUAUUUAGAUAUAAAUUUUAAAUAAGACGAACGGUCAAACGUAUAUUUAAAAGUUAACGGCGUCGUAUAAA